UACGUAGGGGGCAAGCGUUGUCCGGAUUUAUUGGGCGUAAAGAGCGUGUAGGCGGCCAUACAGGUCAGCUGUGAAAACUCGAGGCUCAACCUCGAGACGUCGGUUGAAACCGUAUGGCUAGAGUCCGGAAGAGGAGAGUGGAAUUCCCGGUGUGGCGGUGAAAUGCGCAGAUAUCGGGAAGAACACCCGUGGCGAAGGCGGCUCUCUGGGACGGUACUGACGCUGAGACGCGAAAGCGUGGGGAGCGAACCGG
This 253-nucleotide ribosomal RNA is filed under the name uncultured bacterium. RNAcentral describes it as "partial 16S ribosomal RNA". It matches the Rfam family "Bacterial small subunit ribosomal RNA", at positions 524 to 776 of the family's 1533-position model. The record is from RNAcentral.